This 504-nucleotide ribosomal RNA is filed under the name Eriopis altiplanica. Its description in RNAcentral is "partial large subunit ribosomal RNA". The stretch from base 378 to 504 matches the Rfam family "Bacterial large subunit ribosomal RNA", at positions 2473 to 2600 of the family's 2925-position model. The record is from RNAcentral. Lineage: Eukaryota; Metazoa; Arthropoda; Insecta; Coleoptera; Coccinellidae.
UUUGAAUUUAAUUUAAAGUAGGGCCUGCCCACUGAAUAUUUGAAGGGCCGCAGUAUUUUGACUGUGCAAAGGUAGCAUAAUCAUUAGUUUUUUAAUUGAAAGCUUGUAUGAAUGGUUUGAUGAAAAAAUUUCUUUCUAUAUUUAAUUUAAUAAAAUUUUAUUUUUAAGUUAAAAAGCUUAAAUUUUUUUAAUAGACGAGAAGACCCUAUAGAGUUUAAUUUUUAAGAAAUUUUAAAAUAUUAAGUAUUUAAAUUUUUAAUUUUUUUAAAAAUUUGGUUGGGGUGACUGAAAAAUUAAAUUAACUUUUUUUUGAAUUGUUACAUUUAUUUAUGAAUAUAUGAUCCAAAUUAUUGAUUAUAAGAAUAAAUUACCUUAGGGAUAACAGCGUUAUUUUUUUUUAGAGUUCAAAUCGAAAAAAGAGAUUGCGACCUCGAUGUUGGAUUAAAGUUAAUAUUUGGUGUAGAAGCUAAAAUAUUUGGUCUGUUCGACCAUUAAAACUUUACA